CCCAGCCCCGAGGGGGCCUUCAUUCAAGAAGCUGUGUCUGUGGUUCUAACCGGCCCGGGCGAAGCGAGUCUGCAACUUAGCCCCGAUAUUUUAUUAAUAAGCACAUUUGGCACUUGCCUCACACCUUUCAUCGGCAGCUCUCCCAGGCGUCCCCAACCUUAAUUAAUUCUCCCCGCACCCCAAACAAGCUGCUCUUCCCUUGGCAAAUGAUGAUGUGGGAAGUCCUUAAAGGUGCCGUGAUUAAUCCCCCCGCGCAAUUAGGUCCCUCUCUUCCCCCGGCAGCUACUCCCUCCCUCUCCCAGCUGUCGGGGGGCCUUGAGACUUCAGACCCUCCCUGACCUCAGACCCCAUCAACUCGUGCUGGAUUGGCCUCAGCCACCGCCCCCCCCUCCCCAGCUGUCCCAGUCCCCCCUGUGCCCUUCCACAAGGCAGCCAAGGGGAUCCCGCCAAAGCACAACCCCAAUCCCGCCUCCUGCCUGCCCCAAGCCCUCCCCUGGCCCCCCAACACCCGUGGACACCCAGCCUUCUUGCACCCAGUGUCUCAUAGCCAGCCACCGAGGACACACCGAAGGUCUCCGGUUUUCUCCACGUGCUGCCUCUUCUAGAAUGCAAGUGACUUCUGCAGGAGCUGACACGUAAACAGCGCCCUGGAGACGACUGGCCCCGGCAACCCUUCCUAAAGCGACUGCCUGCGCCCCAAAAAUGAGAUCGGGGCUCCUUCGGGGAUUAAUUAAUCAAUACGUUCCACAGGUACUGAUGGAGAUUUUGCAGGUGCCAGGCACUGUCCUGGGUGCCCCGGGACGCAUCCGUGGACCCUGGGCACCUGUGGGCGAGUGGCGAGAAUCUCACCGCGGCAUUGCUUACCUGCCUCGGGGCUGUGGCCCUCCCCCACCUGGCUGCCCCCCCUGGGCCGGGUCCCCCCACCCCGGCUGCCCACCCUGGCCUGUCCCCUUGCCUUCCGGAGCAGGGCAGCCCGUGGACCAGGCACUCUGUCAGCCUGUCCAAAUCUGAGUCACUUCUCUCUCGGGACAGCAGGGUGACCUUGCCUGUGGGUCCCCGGAGCUAAGAAUAGCCCGGGGAGCUGAGAACCCGCCGUCGCCCCUCCCAGCCCUGUGUGCAGCCGGGGCGAAAGGACCCUGUCGCCCGCGGAGGGGACAGCUGCUCCCGGCAUGUUUGGGCGCGCGGCUGAGCCCUGCCAGCUGUUUGGAAGAGGAGAGGAGCCAAAGGAAGGGGGGAGUUUCCGACUCCAAAAGUGCCGAGCCCACGCUUGGCCGCUGUGCCGCCUGGAGUACCGGGAAGGUGCCUGAGCCCUGGCUCUGCCUGUCAUCGGUGAGUGACCUUUGGCAAGCCACCUCCGCCUCCCAGGGUUUAGGACGCAGACCCGCCCAGGGAGAGGAUGGCCGUCAGGAAGCCAAAGAGAGAGACUCAGAAGAAGCCGGCCCUGUAGAUACCUUGACCUUGGACUUCCUGCCUCCAGAGACAACAGAUGACAACGGCUCUUCACCCAGAGGAUCCCAAAUGCUCAAUGGCUCCCGGCAUCCCUGACGGGGGCAAAGCCAGAGUUUGCUGCCCCCGGGCCGGGCGUCUGCCCCUGGGGGCCGUUUGCAAGGAAGCAUCUGGGCACAGAUGUUAUUGUGGGCACAAAUCAUGGGCAGAAACGGCCAAGUGAGCCGCGCGG
Long non-coding RNA from Felis catus (domestic cat), 1678 nucleotides. RefSeq lists it as uncharacterized. Lineage: Eukaryota; Metazoa; Chordata; Mammalia; Carnivora; Felidae. The record is from RefSeq and is a predicted model, not a curated record. The transcript has 2 exons.